Molecule: long non-coding RNA, 447 nt
Filed under: Homo sapiens (human)
Lineage: Eukaryota; Metazoa; Chordata; Mammalia; Primates; Hominidae
Description: HSALNT0323922
Source: RNAcentral
GGCUCGGGCGGACGCGGCGGCUGCUGCCGGGGAGCGAGCCGGCGGCGCGGGCGAGCCGAGCGCGGUAAGUGCGGCGCCGCCGCCGGCGCGCCCUCCUUCCUUUAUGGGGUCCUAGUGCCGGGCCGCGGCGCCGGGAGCUGGCGGGCGCGAGCUGGGACGGCGCGUGGCCCCGGGAGGCGGCGGACGCGGGGACAUCUUCUCAGCGCGCGGAUUCUCUCCACGGUCCGGCCUCCCCGUCCCCGCCCCGCCCUCGCGCCAGCCACCUCCGGCCGCCGGCUCAGAUCUCUGGAAGGGACUCAACAAAGCUUUCCUAAAUUAAUUGGCUCUGACGGUACCUUCUUAAGGAUUUCUGGUGUGGCUCUGACAUAUAAGCAACUCAGAUAACUACAGAAAACUGUGUGUAAAAAUCAGCCCACCAGUAUUUGAAACAAGUAUGCACUGUUCUUU